RNAcentral lists this ribosomal RNA (408 nucleotides) under uncultured bacterium. RNAcentral's name for it is "bacterial SSU rRNA". It matches the Rfam family "Bacterial small subunit ribosomal RNA", at positions 355 to 776 of the family's 1533-position model. The record is from RNAcentral.
UCGAGAAUCUUCCGCAAUGGACGAAAGUCUGACGGAGCGACGUCGCGUGAUUGAAGAAGCUCUUCGGAGUGUAAAAAUCUUUUAUGAGGGAAGAAGUUUAUUGACGGUACCUCAUGAAUAAGGGGCUCCUAAUCUCGUGCCAGCAGGAGCGGUAAUACGAGAGCCCCAAGCGUUAUCCGGAAUCAUUGGGCGUAAAGGGUGCGUAGGCGGUGGUGUUAGUCGUUUGUUAAAUCCUCAGGCUUAACCUGGGGCAGGCGAACGAAACGGCACAACUAGAGAGUGUGAGAGGUGUACAGAACUUAUGGUGUAGGGGUGAAAUCCGUUGAUAUCAUAGGGAAUACCAAAAGCGAAGGCAGUACACUGGCACAUAUCUGACGUUCAAGCACGAAAGCGUGGGUAGCGAAUGGG